UACGUAGGUGGCAAGCGUUAUCCGGAAUUAUUGGGCGUAAAGAGCGCGCAGGUGGUUAAUUAAGUCUGAUGUGAAAGCCCACGGCUUAACCGUGGAGGGUCAUUGGAAACUGGUUGACUUGAGUGCAGAAGAGGGAAGUGGAAUUCCAUGUGUAGCGGUGAAAUGCGUAGAGAUACGGAGGAACACCAGUGGCGAAGGCGGCUUCCUGGUCUGCAACUGACACUGAGGCGCGAAAGCGUGGGGAGCAAACAGG
This 253-nucleotide ribosomal RNA is filed under the name uncultured bacterium. RNAcentral describes it as "partial 16S ribosomal RNA". It matches the Rfam family "Bacterial small subunit ribosomal RNA", at positions 524 to 776 of the family's 1533-position model. The record is from RNAcentral.